UCUGGUGGGUAUAGCUGUAGGGAAACACCCGUUACCAUUCCGAAUACGGAAGUUAAGUUUACAGCGCCGAUGAUACUUGUCUGGAGACGGACCGGGAAAGUAGGUACCGCCAGAU
Candidatus Babela massiliensis is the source of this 115-nucleotide ribosomal RNA. The record is from Rfam. NCBI's taxonomy places the organism in Bacteria, Candidatus Babeliae, Candidatus Babeliales, Candidatus Babeliaceae.